Long non-coding RNA from Onychostoma macrolepis, 559 nucleotides. RefSeq lists it as uncharacterized. The transcript is spliced from 3 exons. Lineage: Eukaryota; Metazoa; Chordata; Actinopteri; Cypriniformes; Cyprinidae. The record is from RefSeq and is a predicted model, not a curated record.
UCGAAAAAAGAUAAACAACGUUUUGGCGCUCUUUACUGUGACGUGACAGAACGCCUCAGUUUAAACGGCAGCGCGAGAGAACAUGAACAGAUCAUCCCUUCCGCUUUACGUUACAGCACGAAAUAAAUAUAAUGAACAUCAGAAGAUCCAGGUGAAGUCUAAAGCACAGCUGCCACACCGUUGCUGAAACUGACUGUGAGGAUGCAAAACGAGACUAAUUACAAGAUCGAUGGAGAAUGGGAACCAGGAACAAUGGAGAACCGCUAGAAGAUCGCUGGGAGUCUGAAAAGGUAAGCACAUACAGGUAAGUGCACAAAAGGUCUGGGAACUGUUCAGGGUAGUGAACAGUAGACCAGACAGUGAGUGACUGGGUUCAGUGUGUUCUUGUAGGGAGGCUUGACUGGAGACAUCAGGUGCGGGUGAUAGAAUCCUGGUGAUAGGGAUCUUGACUGAUGACUGAGAUAGCUGACUGGAACCAGGUGUGAGCAGGGGAGGAUUCUGGGAAAUGGAGUCCAGGGCAGGUGACUGGUGACAGGGAACUCGUGACAUAUAUAUAUAU